This 253-nucleotide ribosomal RNA is filed under the name uncultured bacterium. Its description in RNAcentral is "partial 16S ribosomal RNA". It matches the Rfam family "Bacterial small subunit ribosomal RNA", at positions 524 to 776 of the family's 1533-position model. The record is from RNAcentral.
UACGUAGGGGGCUAGCGUUGUCCGGAAUCAUUGGGCGUAAAGCGCGCGUAGGCGGCCCGGUAAGUCCGCUGUGAAAGUCAAAGGCUCAACCUUUGAAUGUCAGCGGAUACUGCCGGGCUAGAGUCCGGAAGAGGCGAGUGGAACUCCUGGUGUAGCGGUGGAAUGCGCAGAUAUCAGGAAGAACACCAACGGCGAAGGCAGCUCGCUGGGACGGAACUGACGCUGAGGCGCGAAAGCGUGGGGAGCGAACAGG